GAUGAACGCUGGCGGCGUGCCUAAUACAUGCAAGUCGAGCGAACAGAUGAGGAGCUUGCUCCUCUGACGUUAGCGGCGGACGGGUGAGUAACACGUGGAUAACCUACCUAUAAGACUGGGAUAACUUCGGGAAACCGGAGCUAAUACCGGAUAAUAUAUUGAACCGCAUGGUUCAAUAGUGAAAGACGGUUUUGCUGUCACUUAUAGAUGGAUCCGCGCCGCAUUAGCUAGUUGGUAAGGUAACGGCUUACCAAGGCAACGAUGCGUAGCCGACCUGAGAGGGUGAUCGGCCACACUGGAACUGAGACACGGUCCAGACUCCUACGGGAGGCAGCAGUAGGGAAUCUUCCGCAAUGGGCGAAAGCCUGACGGAGCAACGCCGCGUGAGUGAUGAAGGUCUUCGGAUCGUAAAACUCUGUUAUUAGGGAAGAACAAAUGUGUAAGUAACUAUGCACGUCUGGACGGUACCCAAUCAGAAAGCCACGGCUAACUACGU
Molecule: ribosomal RNA, 496 nt
Filed under: uncultured bacterium
Lineage: Bacteria
Description: partial 16S ribosomal RNA
Rfam family: Bacterial small subunit ribosomal RNA
Source: RNAcentral